This 406-nucleotide ribosomal RNA is filed under the name Helix borealis. RNAcentral's name for it is "partial large subunit ribosomal RNA". It matches the Rfam family "Archaeal large subunit ribosomal RNA", at positions 1924 to 2670 of the family's 2987-position model. The record is from RNAcentral. Lineage: Eukaryota; Metazoa; Mollusca; Gastropoda; Stylommatophora; Helicidae.
AGCUAUAUGAGUUAAUAUGUAGUUACUUCUGCUCAAUGAUUAUUAAAUAGCCGCAGUACCCUGACUGUGCAAAGGUAGCAUAAUCAGUUGGCUUUUAAUUAGAGUCUGGUAUGAAUGAAAGUAUGGGUGGUGACUGUCUUAACAUAUUAAGUUGAACUUAUUAAACAAGUGCAAAUACUUGUAAACUUCCAAAAGACGAGAAGACCCUAGAAACUUGAAAUAGUUUUUGUUGGGGCGACAGAAUUACAUUUAACUAAUUUUAAGAAACAUGACAUUUUAUUGAAAGAGUAAGUUACUCUAGGGAUAACAGCAUAAUUUUAAUAGUUUGUGACCUCGAUGUUGGACUAGGUAUUAUAUCCUUAAGGCAAGGUUAUAAGAUGCUCUGUUCGAGCAGUGUUACCUACAU